Molecule: ribosomal RNA, 253 nt
Filed under: uncultured bacterium
Lineage: Bacteria
Description: partial 16S ribosomal RNA
Rfam family: Bacterial small subunit ribosomal RNA
Source: RNAcentral
UACGAAGGAUGCAAGCGUUAUCCGGAUUUAUUGGGUUUAAAGGGUGCGUAGGCGGACUUAUAAGUCAGUGGUGAAAUCUCGUUGCUUAACAACGAACGUGCCAUUGAUACUGUAGGUCUUGAGUACAGAUGCCGUUGGCGGAAUGUGUCAUGUAGCGGUGAAAUGCAUAGAUAUGACACAGAACACCGAUUGCGAAGGCAGCUGACGAAACUGUAACUGACGCUGAGGUACGAAAGCGUGGGGAUCAAACAGG